RNAcentral lists this ribosomal RNA (1026 nucleotides) under Paraphaeosphaeria sp. Its description in RNAcentral is "SSU rRNA". It matches the Rfam family "Eukaryotic small subunit ribosomal RNA", at positions 73 to 1108 of the family's 1831-position model. The record is from RNAcentral. Lineage: Eukaryota; Fungi; Ascomycota; Dothideomycetes; Pleosporales; Didymosphaeriaceae.
AAUUAUCCGUGAAACUGCGAAUGGCUCAUUAAAUCAGUUAUCGUUUAUUUGAUAGUACCUUACUACUUGGAUAACCGUGGUAAUUCUAGAGCUAAUACAUGCUAAAAACCCCAACUUCGGGAGGGGUGUAUUUAUUAGAUAAAAAACCAAUGCCCUUCGGGGCUCCUUGGUGAUUCAUGAUAACUUCUCAGAUCGCAUGGCUUUACGCCGGCGACGGUUCAUUCAAAUUUCUGCCCUAUCAACUUUCGAUGGUAAGGUAUUGGCUUACCAUGGUUUCAACGGGUAACGGGGAAUUAGGGUUCGAUUCCGGAGAGGGAGCCUGAGAAACGGCUACCACAUCCAAGGAAGGCAGCAGGCGCGCAAAUUACCCAAUUCCGAUACGGAGAGGUAGUGACAAUAAAUACUGAUACAGGGCUCUUUUGGGUCUUGUAAUUGGAAUGAGUACAAUUUAAACCUCUUAACGAGGAACAAUUGGAGGGCAAGUCUGGUGCCAGCAGCCGCGGUAAUUCCAGCUCCAAUAGCGUAUAUUAAAGUUGUUGCAGUUAAAAAGCUCGUAGUUGAACCUUUGGCCUGGCUGGCAGGUCCGCCUCACCGCGUGCACUUGUCCGGCCGGGCCUUUUCUUCUGGAGAACCGCAUGCCCUUCACUGGGUGUGUUGGGGACCAGGACUUUUACUUUGAAAAAAUUAGAGUGUUCAAAGCAGGCCUUUGCUCGAAUACGUUAGCAUGGAAUAAUAGAAUAGGACGUGCGGUCCUAUUUUGUUGGUUUCUAGGACCGCCGUAAUGAUUAAUAGGGACAGUCGGGGGCAUCAGUAUUCAAUUGUCAGAGGUGAAAUUCUUGGAUUUAUUGAAGACUAACUACUGCGAAAGCAUUUGCCAAGGAUGUUUUCAUUAAUCAGUGAACGAAAGUUAGGGGAUCGAAGACGAUCAGAUACCGUCGUAGUCUUAACCAUAAACUAUGCCGACUAGGGAUCGGGCGGUGUUUCUAUUGUGACCCGCUCGGCACCUUACGAGAAAUCAAAGUGUUU